GCAUCACACAUACAAGUCUAGCGAUAGCACAGAGAGCUUGCUCUUGGGUGACGAGUGGCGGACGGGUGAGUAAUGUCUGGGGAUCUGCCCGAUAGAGGGGGAUAACCACUGGAAACGGUGGCUAAUACCGCAUAACGUCGCAAGACCAAAGAGGGGGACCUUCGGGCCUCUCACUAUCGGAUGAACCCAGAUGGGAUUAGCUAGUAGGCGGGGUAAUGGCCCACCUAGGCGACGAUCCCUAGCUGGUCUGAGAGGAUGACCAGCCACACUGGAACUGAGACACGGUCCAGACUCCUACGGGAGGCAGCAGUGGGGAAUAUUGCACAAUGGGCGCAAGCCUGAUGCAGCCAUGCCGCGUGUAUGAAGAAGGCCUUCGGGUUGUAAAGUACUUUCAGCGGGGAGGAAGGCGACGGGGUUAAUAACCCUGUCGAUUGACGUUACCCGCAGAAGAAGCACCGGCUAACUCCGUGCCAGCAGCCGCGGUAAUACGGAGGGUGCAAGCGUUAAUCGGAAUUACUGGGCGUAAAGCGCACGCAGGCGGUCUGUUAAGUCAGAUGUGAAAUCCCCGGGCUUAACCUGGGAACUGCAUUUGAAACUGGCAGGCUUGAGUCUUGUAGAGGGGGGUAGAAUUCCAGGUGUAGCGGUGAAAUGCGUAGAGAUCUGGAGGAAUACCGGUGGCGAAGGCGGCCCCCUGGACAAAGACUGACGCUCAGGUGCGAAAGCGUGGGGAGCAAACAGGAUUAGAUACCCUGGUAGUCCACGCCGUAAACGAUGUCGACUUGGAGGUUGUUCCCUUGAGGAGUGGCUUCCGGAGCUAACGCGUUAAGUCGACCGCCUGGGGAGUACGGCCGCAAGGUUAAAACUCAAAUGAGUUGACGGGGGCCCGCUCAAGCGGUGGAGCAUGUGGUUUAAUUCGAUGCAACGCGAGACCUUACCUACUCUUGACAUCCACGGAAUUUGGCAGAGAUGCCUUGGUGCCUUCGGGAACCGUGAGACAGGUGCUGCAUGGCUGUCGUCAGCUCGUGUUGUGAAAUGUUGGGUUAAGUCCCGCAACGAGCGCAACCCUUAUCCUUUGUUGCCAGCGAUUCGGUCGGGAACUCAUAGGAGACUGCCGGUGAUAAACCGGAGGAAGGUGGGGAUGACGUCCAGUCAUCCUGGCCCUUACGAGUAGGGCUACACACGUGCUACAAUGGCGCAUACAAAGAGAAGCGACCUCGCGAGAGCAAGCGGACCUCACAAAGUGCGUCGUAGUCCGGAUCGGAGUCUGCAACUCGACUCCGUGAAGUCGGAAUCGCUAGUAAUCAUGGAUCAGAAUGCCACGGUGAAUACGUUCCCGGGCCUUGUACACACCGCCCGUCACACCAUGGGAGUGGGUUGCAAAAGAAGUAGGUAGCUUAACCUUCGGGAGGGCGCUUACCACUUUGUGAUUCAUGACUGGGAGUG
Molecule: ribosomal RNA, 1443 nt
Filed under: Pantoea vagans
Lineage: Bacteria; Pseudomonadati; Pseudomonadota; Gammaproteobacteria; Enterobacterales; Erwiniaceae
Description: bacterial SSU rRNA
Rfam family: Bacterial small subunit ribosomal RNA
Source: RNAcentral